This 335-nucleotide ribosomal RNA is filed under the name uncultured Oscillospiraceae bacterium. Its description in RNAcentral is "bacterial SSU rRNA". It matches the Rfam family "Bacterial small subunit ribosomal RNA", at positions 356 to 704 of the family's 1533-position model. Lineage: Bacteria; Bacillati; Bacillota; Clostridia; Eubacteriales; Oscillospiraceae. The record is from RNAcentral.
UGGGAAUAUUGGGGCAAUGGGGCGAAAGCCUGACCCAGCGACGCCGCGUGAAGGAAGAAGGCCCUCGGGUUGUAAACUUCAGUCAACAGGGAAGAAACAAAUGACGGUACCUGUGGAGGAAGCCACGGCUAACUACGUGCCAGCAGCCGCGGUAAUACGUAGGUGGCAAGCGUUAUCCGGAUUUACUGGGUGUAAAGGGUGUGUAGGCGGGUCUGCAAGUCAGAUGUGAAACUAUGGGCUCAACUCAUAGCUUGCAUUUGAAACUGUGGAUCUUGAGUGUCGGAGAGGUAAAUGGAAUUCCCGGUGUAGAGGUGAAAUUCGUAGAUAUCGGGAGG